Hydra vulgaris (swiftwater hydra) is the source of this 889-nucleotide non-coding RNA. The record is from RefSeq and is a predicted model, not a curated record. Lineage: Eukaryota; Metazoa; Cnidaria; Hydrozoa; Anthoathecata; Hydridae.
UCUUAUUAUAAAUUUCGUGAUCUUAUUUAUUUAUGCUGUUAUUAAUUUCAUUUAAUCGUAGUUGAUAAAUUUGAGCUUGUGCGUUGUGUGACUGAGAAUAUAGUUGUUACAAAAUGUUGUUGUUGUUAAAUAUACAGUUGGUUUCACUAUUAUAUAAAGUAAAUAAUUUAGCUAAACUCUUUUUGUUAAUUUUUCAGCGCAAUUUUUUAUUGAAUGUUGUUUCUUAUAUUAAGAUAUAAAUGAGUAUCUCCCAAUGAAAUGACAUAUUAAGAAGGUUGAUGAUUCAGAUAUAAAAAAUUAAUAAGAAGCUUGACACAAGUCAAUUGAUGCACGAUUUUCUUCAAGUAUAGACAGAAAGAAGGGAAAAAGAAAGAGGAUCAGGUUAGGUUAUCUUGUAUUAACAUAAAAUGUUUAGUUUUUUUUAUUUUUCAUAGACCAUACAGGUUUGGCAAUAAUCCAGAUGUUAAGACUAUGACUUGACCAUGAUUGACUCUUCAAAAGAAUAAAUUUGUUAAUAACAUUGCUAUUUUUCAUUACUAGAAUAAAGAUGUUUUUUGAAAUAAUUGAAGAUAUAUUGACAACUUCUGCAACACAUAUGGCUUGUUGCAGUACUUCUGGUAAUUUAGGUCAAAUCACAUAAAAUAUUCUUGUUAUGAAGCCUGAGUACUUGCAUUGUUGAAGAAAUUAAACAAACUUAAAAAAAAAAAGUUUACAUUCUGCAAUGUUAAUUUUGCUGCAAAAACAGCUGAAUGGAGCUUCUGGAAUUACUUUACAACAACUACCUGCUGGUCUUAUUUGACAUUCCAUUCAUUCACUGUGGCAAACAUGGAUUUAAUAAGUCACUGCGAAACAGAAUUUUGCAACAAAGAUUUGCUUGCAAGAAAGCCUU